GAUGUCGACUUGGAGGUUGUGCCCUUGAGGCGUGGCUUCCGGAGCUAACGCGUUAAGUCGACCGCCUGGGGAGUACGGCCGCAAGGUUAAAACUCAAAUGAAUUGACGGGGGCCCGCACAAGCGGUGGAGCAUGUGGUUUAAUUCGAUGCAACGCGAAGAACCUUACCUGGUCUUGACAUCCACGGAAGUUUUCAGAGAUGAGAAUGUGCCUUCGGGAACCGUGAGACAGGUGCUGCAUGGCUGUCGUCAGCUCGUGUUGUGAAAUGUUGGGUUAAGUCCCGCAACGAGCGCAACCCUUAUCCUUUGUUGCCAGCGGUCCGGCCGGGAACUCAAAGGAGACUGCCAGUGAUAAACUGGAGGAAGGUGGGGAUGACGUCAAGUCAUCAUGGCCCUUAGACCAGGGCUACACACGUGCUACAAUGGCGCAUACAAAGAGAAGCGACCUCGCGAGAGCAAGCGGACCUCAUAAAGUGCGUCGUAGUCCGGAUUGGAGUCUGCAACUCGACUCCAUGAAGUCGGAAUCGCUAGUAAUCGUGGAUCAGAAUGCCACGGUGAAUACGUUCCCGGGCCUUGUACACACCGCCCGUCACACCAUGGGAGUGGGUUGCAAAAGAAGUAGGUAGCUUAACCUUCGGGAGGGCGCUUACCACUUUGUGAUUCAUGACUGGGGGUGAAGUCGUAACAAGGUAACCGUAGGGGAACCUGCGGUUG
Molecule: ribosomal RNA, 712 nt
Filed under: Escherichia coli DEC10B
Lineage: Bacteria; Pseudomonadati; Pseudomonadota; Gammaproteobacteria; Enterobacterales; Enterobacteriaceae
Description: bacterial SSU rRNA
Rfam family: Bacterial small subunit ribosomal RNA
Source: RNAcentral